AGAGUUUGAUCCUGGCUCAGGACGAACGCUGGCGGCGUGCUUAACACAUGCAAGUCGAACGGUGAUGGCCAGCUUGCUGGUCUGAUCAGUGGCGAACGGGUGAGUAACACGUGAGCAACCUACCCCAGACUCUGGAAUAACCAUGGGAAACGAUGGCUAAUACCGGAUACGAGACGUACACGCAUGUGUGGUGUCUGGAAAGAUUUAUCGGUCUGGGAUGGGCUCGCGGCCUAUCAGCUUGUUGGUGGGGUAGUGGCCUACCAAGGCGACGACGGGUAGCCGGCCUGAGAGGGCGACCGGCCACACUGGGACUGAGAUACGGCCCAGACUCCUACGGGAGGCAGCAGUGGGGAAUAUUGCACAAUGGGCGCAAGCCUGAUGCAGCGACGCCGCGUGAGGGAUGACGGCCUUCGGGUUGUAAACCUCUUUCAGCAGGGAAGAAGCGAAAGUGACGGUACCUGCAGAAGAAGCGCCGGCUAACUACGUGCCAGCAGCCGCGGUAAUACGUAGGGCGCAAGCGUUGUCCGGAAUUAUUGGGCGUAAAGAGCUCGUAGGCGGUUUGUCGCGUCUGCUGUGAAAACCUAAGGCUCAACCUUGGGCUUGCAGUGGGUACGGGCAGACUAGAGUGCGGUAGGGGUGACUGGAAUUCCUGGUGUAGCGGUGGAAUGCGCAGAUAUCAGGAGGAACACCGAUGGCGAAGGCAGGUCACUGGGCCGCAACUGACGCUGAGGAGCGAAAGCAUGGGGAGCGAACAGGAUUAGAUACCCUGGUAGUCCAUGCCGUAAACGUUGGGCACUAGGUGUGGGGCUCAUUCCACGAGUUCCGUGCCGCA
Molecule: ribosomal RNA, 832 nt
Filed under: Cellulomonas sp. C-47
Lineage: Bacteria; Bacillati; Actinomycetota; Actinomycetes; Micrococcales; Cellulomonadaceae
Description: bacterial SSU rRNA
Rfam family: Bacterial small subunit ribosomal RNA
Source: RNAcentral